This 353-nucleotide unclassified non-coding RNA is filed under the name soil metagenome. RNAcentral describes it as "partial contains 5.8S ribosomal RNA, internal transcribed spacer 2, and large subunit ribosomal RNA". The stretch from base 1 to 120 matches the Rfam family "5.8S ribosomal RNA", at positions 35 to 154 of the family's 154-position model. The record is from RNAcentral.
GAUGAAGAACGUAGUGAAAUGCGAUAAGUAGUGUGAAUUGCAGAAUUCAGUGAAUCAUCGAAUCUUUGAACGCACAUUGCGCCUCCUGGUAUUCCGGGAGGCAUGCCUGUUCGAGCGUCAUUAAAAUCACUCAAGCUUAGGUUUACCUAUUGCUUGGUCUUGGAGAUGGAAGCCAAUUUAUUGGAAUCCUCUUCGAAAUUCAAUGGCGAAGACCCUUGCUCUCCCAAGUGUAGUAAUAACUUAUGUCACUGAAGGAAGCGAGAAAUCUUCUGCCGUAACCCCCAUAUUUUCUAUGAUUGACCUCGGAUCAGGUAGGGAUACCCGCUGAACUUAAGCAUAUCAAUAAGCGGAGA